Molecule: ribosomal RNA, 407 nt
Filed under: uncultured bacterium
Lineage: Bacteria
Description: partial 16S ribosomal RNA
Rfam family: Bacterial small subunit ribosomal RNA
Source: RNAcentral
AUUGAACGCUGGCGGCAGGCCUAACACAUGCAAGUCGAGCGGAGCGGCGGACGGGUGAGUAAUGCCUGGGAAUCUACCUGGUAGUGAGGGAUCACGUCCGGAAACGGGCGCUAAUACCGCAUACUAUCAGAUGAGCCUAGGUCGGAGUAGCUAGUUGGUGGGGUAAAGGCCUACCAAGGUGACGAUCCGGAACCGGUCUGAGCGGAUGAUCAGUCACCCUGGAACUGAGACACGGCCCAGACUCCUACGGGAGGCAGCAGUGGGGAAUAUUGGACAAUGGGCGAAAGCCUGAUCCAGCCAUGUCGCGUGUGUGAAGAAGGUGUUCGGAUGGUAAAGCACUUUAAGUUGGGAGGCGUUACCAACAGAAUAAGCACCGGCUAACUUCGUGCCAGCCGCCGCGGUAAUUC